This is a long non-coding RNA of Brachypodium distachyon (stiff brome), 873 nucleotides long. RefSeq lists it as uncharacterized. The transcript has 2 exons. NCBI's taxonomy places the organism in Eukaryota, Viridiplantae, Streptophyta, Magnoliopsida, Poales, Poaceae. The record is from RefSeq and is a predicted model, not a curated record.
UUCAACCCUCUGCCUACUUAUAUGUGUUUGCGGCCAUGGCCAUCGAUGCCUUCGUAUAGUAAUUUUUUUUCCAGUUAGUGUAUUUGUCAAUUCUGUGAAUCCUUCUCAGGCCCAGACAUGGGUGGACAGAAUGAGUGCACCGGAGCAAGAUGAACUCAACUAUAUAAGGAUUUCCUCUAAAAAAAAAACUAUAUAAGGAUUCUGAGGGUCAGCCGUCAGGGCUUGGUCUCGGUGCUAAAGUGGCACCUAACGUAAAGCGCGCAGCUCCCAUUGAUCUGGUUGAGGAGAGGUUGCUCGGAAAGGUGAAUGCCCAGAAGAGAAGAUCGGCGUCAGCGGAGGAGAAUGAUAAUGCUAAGGAGGUGAAUUGAGGUUAGUAAUGAUGAUAGCGGCGAGCCGGAAGGCCGGACCAGCGACUUUAGCUAGAAGAGGGCACUGCCGCCUUCCAUGCCCUUAGGGAAGAAGGCCAAGUGAAAACUUGUUUAUGCAUGAAUGAACCAUGUUGUCGCCUUCCAUCAAGAAUGACCCAAGCUUUAUUUCUAUUUAAGUCAGCUAGUAUGUUUCAGAACUAGGAUCAUGGAUCAUAUGAUCUGAAUUAGCUUAGCCAUCUUUAGGUUCAUCAUAUUGUUCCCAAUUCCCAAUGUCCUGGCAUCUGAUUGUGGGUUCAUACUGCGCCCAACCUAUCAAACUUUUUUACGCAUAGUAUUUUCCAUCAGAUGAUUAAAAUAGUGAGAUCAUACUGUUGGGGAGACAGAUGAUGACUACUGAUGAUGCUGAAAUUACUAAUAGGAACCAAUCUGGGAAAUAUAAGACCAAACAAAGAUUCCAAAAACAAUAAACACGACAGACAUCGUUGCACUAGGGAAGAGGUCAUCU